UGGUGGAGUGAUUUGUCUGGUUAAUUCCGUUAACGAACGAGACCUCAACCUGCUAAAUAGAUGUACGCAGUCUUUACCGGCUGUGUGUUGCAUCUUCUUAGAGGGACUGUCGGUGUUUAGCCGAAGGAAGUUUGAGGCAAUAACA
RNAcentral lists this ribosomal RNA (145 nucleotides) under uncultured eukaryote. RNAcentral describes it as "partial 18S ribosomal RNA". It matches the Rfam family "Eukaryotic small subunit ribosomal RNA", at positions 1299 to 1458 of the family's 1831-position model. The record is from RNAcentral.